RNAcentral lists this ribosomal RNA (442 nucleotides) under uncultured bacterium. Its description in RNAcentral is "partial 16S ribosomal RNA". It matches the Rfam family "Bacterial small subunit ribosomal RNA", at positions 338 to 795 of the family's 1533-position model. The record is from RNAcentral.
CCUACGGGAGGCAGCAGUAGGGAAUCUUUCACAAUCGGCGAAAGCCUGAUGGAGCAACGCCGCGUGCAGGAUGAAGGCCUUCGGGUUGUAAACUGCUUUUAUAAGCGAGAAAUAUGAUGGUAACUUAUGAAUAAGGAUCGGCUAACUACGUGCCAGCAGCCGCGGUCAUACGUAGGAUCCGAGCAUUAUCCGGAGUGACUGGGUGUAAAGAGUUGCGUAGGUGGCAUAAUAAGUAGCUAGUGAAAUCUGGUGGCUCAACCAUUCAGACUAUUAGCUAAACUGUUAAGCUCGAGACCGUUAGGGGUAACUGGAAUUUCUAGUGUAGGAGUGAAAUCCGUAGAUAUUAGAAGGAACACCAAUAGCGUAGGCAGGUUGCUGGGACGGUUCUGACACUAAGGCACGAAAGCGUAGGGAGCAAACGGGAUUAGAUACCCCUGUAGUC